Molecule: ribosomal RNA, 253 nt
Filed under: uncultured bacterium
Lineage: Bacteria
Description: partial 16S ribosomal RNA
Rfam family: Bacterial small subunit ribosomal RNA
Source: RNAcentral
AACGUAGGGGGCCAGCGUUGCUCGGAAUUACUGGGCGUAAAGGGUCCGUAGGCGGUGCGGCAAGUCGGGAGUGAAAUCUCUGGGCUUAACUCAGAGGCUGCUUCCGAAACUGCCGUGCUCGAGUGUGAGAGAGGCGAGUGGAAUUACGGGUGUAGCGGUGAAAUGCGUAGAUAUCCGUAGGAACAUCCGAGGCGAAAGCGGCUCGCUGGAUCACAACUGACGCUGAGGGACGAAAGCUAGGGGAGCAAACAGG